This 461-nucleotide ribosomal RNA is filed under the name Psychrobacter sp. 'Disko Bay 120'. RNAcentral's name for it is "bacterial SSU rRNA". It matches the Rfam family "Bacterial small subunit ribosomal RNA", at positions 31 to 486 of the family's 1533-position model. The record is from RNAcentral. Lineage: Bacteria; Pseudomonadati; Pseudomonadota; Gammaproteobacteria; Moraxellales; Moraxellaceae.
GAACGCUGGCGGCAGGUUUAACACAUGCAAGUAGAGCGGAAAGGAUGAUAGCUUGCUAUCAGGCGUCGAGCGGCGGACGGGUGAGUAAUACUUAGGAAUCUACCUAGUAGUGGGGGAUAGCACGGGGAAACUCGUAUUAAUCCCGCAUCCGACCUACGGGAGAAAGGGGGCAGUUUACUCCUCUCGCUAUUAGAUGAGCCUAAGUCGGAUUAGCUAGAUGGUGGGGUAAAGGCCUACCAUGGCGACGAUCUGUAGCUGGUCUGAGAGGAUGAUCAGCCACACCGGGACUGAGACACGGCCCGGACUCCUACGGGAGGCAGCAGUGGGGAAUAUUGGACAAUGGGGGAAACCCUGAUCCAGCCAUGCCGCGUGUGUGAAGAAGGCCUUUUGGUUGUAAAGCACUUUAAGCAGUGAAGAAGACUCCUCGGUUAAUACCCGUGGACGAUGACAUAGCUGCAGAA